This is a long non-coding RNA of Coregonus clupeaformis (lake whitefish), 1213 nucleotides long. RefSeq lists it as uncharacterized. The record is from RefSeq and is a predicted model, not a curated record. The transcript has 9 exons. Lineage: Eukaryota; Metazoa; Chordata; Actinopteri; Salmoniformes; Salmonidae.
AUCUUUUUGAAGAAAAAGAGCCACACUGGUUUACAGAGACCUGACUAGAGGCGUGAUAGUGUGUACACCCCUGCCAUCAACAUGGAUCGGGAGUACUGGGAGAACAGAGCCGGUUCCCUCUGCAGCAGAAGUUGUGCCCAGCUGCAGUGAUGCACCUCCUCCACCAGCAUAAAUAAAAAGGAAGGCAGCGGAUGUUGAAGCCUGGAAGGGGUUGAGGGAGCUACUCCACAUGCCUGCAGUGGAGCUGGAAUGGCUUCCACCCAACACCAUAUGCAGUGUGUGUAGAGUUUUCGGUCACAAGUCAGGGCAGUUCAUCCCAUGUGUUCCGGUGGGCCUACGAUGGGAGUGGAGGAGACAAGAUGACCAUGACUGUCACAGCCAGUACAACAAUCUUCUGGCUGUUGUUGACGUUAGAGGAAGAGCUCAUGACGUCUGGCUGCAGUUUUGCAGCUGUGAGCUGGAACCUGUCACCCUGAUCCGCCACAGACUCUGGCCUGCCACCAUCUGCCGCUGUAUCUCAUAAUCAGUUAGAUUCACUAGCCCUCGUCUGUGUGACGUGUGAUUGUGUGUGUAUAACCAACAACUGGGCUAAUGUUGGAGAAGUUAAAAGGGGUACCCGGGAUGUGAAGCCGGGGAUGCGCUGCGAUCCAAACCCAGAAACUGGACAUAACUGGUGUGUUUGGGAUGACGUGCAGGCACGAGCAUCCGCUGAAGUUCCUGAACCUGAAGAGAGGAGCAAAGCUUGCAAAUGCUGUGUUCCUGCUGGGGUACCUGAAAGCAAUACAGGGACCAAACAUCACAACGUUUCUUCGCUAUGACAUUGCAUGCCAGCUGAAGCCUCAUUUACAGGCAGCACACAGUCGGACGUGGACGUUUGAACCCGUCAGAUAAAGCAGACCCUCACAGACAAGAGGACGUUGUUCCUUACCUGGCAGGAGAGAUACAUGGAAAUUCUCGCAGAGCAACAGCAAGUCGCGUCUGACAUGAUGUCCUCGUCAAUCACCGAUGAUAGGAACGCUCAGUUGACUACUCAGCUUGAAAGCCUGGAGAAAAGGUUGAUGACCAUGGAGAAGAGAAACCAGAUUGUACUGCAGACUAAGAAGACUCGCUGUCUGCUGGCCACAAUCCAUAGGCUGGUCCUGGAGCGUUCGCCGUCCCCGGAGUACUAGCUGCCACCGUUGAAUGUUUCUAUGUGUGAUUGCUUUUGUCUGUC